Molecule: ribosomal RNA, 501 nt
Filed under: uncultured bacterium
Lineage: Bacteria
Description: bacterial SSU rRNA
Rfam family: Bacterial small subunit ribosomal RNA
Source: RNAcentral
ACUCCUACGGGAGGCAGCAGUGGGGAAUAUUGCACAAUGGGCGCAAGCCUGAUGCAGCCAUGCCGCGUGUAUGAAGAAGGCCUUCGGGUUGUAAAGUACUUUCAGCAGUGAGGAAGGUGGGUAUGUUAAUAGCAUACUCAUUUGACGUUAGCUGCAGAAGAAGCACCGGCUAACUCCGUGCCAGCAGCCGCGGUAAUACGGAGGGUGCGAGCGUUAAUCGGAAUUACUGGGCGUAAAGCGCAUGCAGGUGGUUUGUUAAGUCAGAUGUGAAAGCCCGGGGCUCAACCUCGGAAUUGCAUUUGAAACUGGCAAACUAGAGUACUGUAGAGGGGGGUAGAAUUUCAGGUGUAGCGGUGAAAUGCGUAGAGAUCUGAAGGAUACCGGUGGCGAAGGCGGCCCCCUGGACAGAUACUGACACUCAGAUGCGAAAGCGUGGGGAGCAAACAGGAUUAGAUACCCUGGUAGGCUCUAGUACUAGUACGGUAGGACGAACGGACGGAC